Molecule: ribosomal RNA, 252 nt
Filed under: uncultured bacterium
Lineage: Bacteria
Description: partial 16S ribosomal RNA
Rfam family: Bacterial small subunit ribosomal RNA
Source: RNAcentral
UACGGAGGAUGCGAGCGUUAUCCGGAUUUAUUGGGUUUAAAGGGUGCGUAGGCGGGAUGCCAAGUCAGCGGUAAAAAUGCGGUGCUCAACGCCGUCGAGCCGUUGAAACUGGCGUUCUUGAGUGGGCGAGAAGUAUGCGGAAUGCGUGGUGUAGCGGUGAAAUGCAUAGAUAUCACGCAGAACUCCGAUUGCGAAGGCAGCAUACCGGCGCCCUACUGACGCUGAGGCACGAAAGCGAGGGUAUCGAACAGG